Molecule: long non-coding RNA, 585 nt
Organism: Lycium barbarum (goji berry)
Lineage: Eukaryota; Viridiplantae; Streptophyta; Magnoliopsida; Solanales; Solanaceae
Exons: 2
Source: RefSeq, a predicted model, not a curated record
AGUCAUUAUGACUGAGUUUCAAAUUAGAGGGACAAAUACCACCACAUCAUGAGAAUGGUUAUAUUUUAAAAACACGAUCAAAAGUGGUCAGCGGAUAGCAAAAGGCUCAUGGACUGGAAACGGGUCGGAUCAUUUUUUUUCAUACGGAAUCUGGAAUUUGAGAAAUAAAUAGGGAUGGGAUCAAAACAACAGGGCAGAUAGAGAUAGUGAGAAAAGUGUUGAUCAAAGAGGGGUAUAAUAGAAGGAUGUCUUGGUUGAUGAAAGGAGAGCCAUUGGUGAGGAAGGUUGCCCUGAUUGCUAAGUACGGUGUGUUCCCUGCUGCUAUGGCUGCUGCUGUCAUCUAUUCUCCACCCACUUAUGCUUCUUAUUAUUCUAAACCCCAAUCUUCUUCCAAAUAAACACCCUGGGGUUCUUUUUGACUUGCCGAAUGCUUCUGGUUCCAGUAUAUUACUGAAAUGCUUUAUUUGUAAUAGACGUGGUAUGUAAUAAUCCAAUGGGGCAGCUUGUUUCUGUACUCAAAACUAUGGACUUUUGAAAAUCGGAACAGGUUGGCUCUUUGUUAUAAUGUGAAACUUUCUUCCAUCA